This 69-nucleotide transfer RNA is filed under the name Podothecus sachi (tokubire). RNAcentral describes it as "tRNA-Glu". Lineage: Eukaryota; Metazoa; Chordata; Actinopteri; Perciformes; Agonidae. The record is from RNAcentral.
GUUUUUAUAUACAUGGUUAUGUAUGUUUUAGGGGUGGUGGGGAUUUCAAGCACUAUGUGAGGUGGAUGA